This 253-nucleotide ribosomal RNA is filed under the name uncultured bacterium. RNAcentral's name for it is "partial 16S ribosomal RNA". It matches the Rfam family "Bacterial small subunit ribosomal RNA", at positions 524 to 776 of the family's 1533-position model. The record is from RNAcentral.
UACGAAGGGGGCUAGCGUUGUUCGGAAUUACUGGGCGUAAAGCGCACGUAGGCGGACAUUUAAGUCAGGGGUGAAAUCCCGGGGCUCAACCCCGGAACUGCCUUUGAUACUGGGUGUCUAGAGUCCGGAAGAGGUGAGUGGAAUUCCGAGUGUAGAGGUGAAAUUCGUAGAUAUUCGGAGGAACACCAGUGGCGAAGGCGGCUCACUGGUCCGGUACUGACGCUGAGGUGCGAAAGCGUGGGGAGCAAACAGG